This 290-nucleotide long non-coding RNA is filed under the name Paramuricea clavata. The record is from RNAcentral. Lineage: Eukaryota; Metazoa; Cnidaria; Anthozoa; Malacalcyonacea; Plexauridae.
AUUUGUUUUUUAUUUAUUUAUUUAGCUUUGCCAACUAGGGCAGGGUCACCACAACAGCAUAUGCCAAUUACUGUGGGCCCUUUUUUACCUAACCCACCCUGUCAACUUUCCCUGUGGGAGGAAACCAGAGUACCCGGGGAAAACCCACGGCUUUCGGCAGAGCGUUGACUUUUACUCUUUUCACAUGGGGACUGGGUUCGAGUCACACUGAGAAGGUACUUAGUGAGAUUCGAACCUGCAGCCUCAGAGGUGAAAGGCAAGUGCGCUAACCACUUGGCCACCGAAGCCCC